RNAcentral lists this ribosomal RNA (825 nucleotides) under uncultured marine group I thaumarchaeote. RNAcentral's name for it is "SSU rRNA". It matches the Rfam family "Archaeal small subunit ribosomal RNA", at positions 29 to 858 of the family's 1478-position model. Lineage: Archaea; Thermoproteati; Nitrososphaerota. The record is from RNAcentral.
GCUAUCGGAUUGAUACUAAGCCAUGCGAGUCUUUGUAGUAAUACAAUAGCAGACAGCUCAGUAACACGUAGUCAACCUACCCUAUGGACGAGAAUAAUCUCGGGAAACUGAGCAUAAUUCUCGAUAGAUCAUAAUGCCUGGAAUGGUUUAUGGUUAAAAUGAUUCGUCGCCAUAGGAUGGGACUGCGGCCUAUCAGCUUGUUGGUGAGGUAAUGGCCCACCAAGGCGAUUACAGGUACGGGCUCUGAGAGGAGAAGCCCGGAGAUGGGUACUGAGACACGGACCCAGGCCCUAUGGGGCGCAGCAGGCGAGAAAACUUUGCAAUGUGCGAAAGCACGACAAGGUUAAUCCGAGUGAUUUCUGCUAAAGAAAUCUUUUGUCAGUCAUAAAACCACUGACGAAUAAGGGGUGGGCAAGUUCUGGUGUCAGCCGCCGCGGUAAAACCAGCACCUCAAGUGGUCAGGAUGAUUAUUGGGCCUAAAGCAUCCGUAGCCGGCUUUGUUAGUUUUCGGUUAAAUCCAUGUGCUCAACACAUGGGCUGCCGAAAAUACUGCAUGGCUAGGGAGUGGGAGAGGUAGACGGUACUCAGUAGGAAGGGGUAAAAUCCUUUGAUCUAUUGAUGACCACCUGUGGCGAAGGCGGUCUACCAGAACACGUUCGACGGUGAGGGAUGAAAGCUGGGGGAGCAAACCGGAUUAGAUACCCGGGUAGUCCCAGCUGUAAACGAUGCAGACUAGAUGAUGCAUUGGCAUAAUAGCCAUUGCAGUGUCUCAGGGAAGCCGUUAAGUCUGCCGCCUGGGAAGUACGUACGCAAGUAUGAAACUUA